This 794-nucleotide ribosomal RNA is filed under the name Microbacterium sp. H4. Its description in RNAcentral is "bacterial SSU rRNA". It matches the Rfam family "Bacterial small subunit ribosomal RNA", at positions 54 to 853 of the family's 1533-position model. The record is from RNAcentral. Lineage: Bacteria; Bacillati; Actinomycetota; Actinomycetes; Micrococcales; Microbacteriaceae.
CAUGUCNAGAUCGAACGGUGAACACGGCAGUCUUGCUCUGUGGGAUCAGUGGCGAACGGGUGAGUAACACGUGAGCAACCUGCCCCUGACUCUGGGAUAAGCGCUGGAAACGGCGUCUAAUACUGGAUAUGUGACGUGACCGCAUGGUCUGCGUCUGGAAAGAAUUUCGGUUGGGGAUGGGCUCGCGGCCUAUCAGCUUGUUGGUGAGGUAAUGGCUCACCAAGGCGUCGACGGGUAGCCGGCCUGAGAGGGUGACCGGCCACACUGGGACUGAGACACGGCCCAGACUCCUACGGGAGGCAGCAGUGGGGAAUAUUGCACAAUGGGCGCAAGCCUGAUGCAGCAACGCCGCGUGAGGGACGACGGCCUUCGGGUUGUAAACCUCUUUUAGCAGGGAAGAAGCGAAAGUGACGGUACCUGCAGAAAAAGCGCCGGCUAACUACGUGCCAGCAGCCGCGGUAAUACGUAGGGCGCAAGCGUUAUCCGGAAUUAUUGGGCGUAAAGAGCUCGUAGGCGGUUUGUCGCGUCUGCUGUGAAAUCCGGAGGCUCAACCUCCGGCCUGCAGUGGGUACGGGCAGACUAGAGUGCGGUAGGGGAGAUUGGAAUUCCUGGUGUAGCGGUGGAAUGCGCAGAUAUCAGGAGGAACACCGAUGGCGAAGGCAGAUCUCUGGGCCGUAACUGACGCUGAGGAGCGAAAGGGUGGGGAGCAAACAGGCUUAAAUACCCUGGUAGUCCACCCCGUAAACGUUGGGAACUAGUUGUGGGGUCCAUUCCACGGAUUCCGUGACGCAGCU